UACAGAGGUGGCAAGCGUUGUUCGGAAUUACUGGGCGUAAAGGGCGCGUAGGCGGCCCGUCAAGUCCCGUGUGAAAGCCCCCGGCUCAACCGGGGAACGGCGCGGGAAACUAGCAGGCUUGAGUUCGGGAGAGGGAAGCGGAAUUCCUGGUGUAGCAGUGAAAUGCGUAGAUAUCAGGAGGAAUACCGAUGGCGAAGGCAGGUCUCUGGGCUGACACUGACGCUCAUGCACGAAAGCGUGGGGAGCAAACAGG
This 253-nucleotide ribosomal RNA is filed under the name uncultured bacterium. Its description in RNAcentral is "partial 16S ribosomal RNA". It matches the Rfam family "Bacterial small subunit ribosomal RNA", at positions 524 to 776 of the family's 1533-position model. The record is from RNAcentral.